Molecule: ribosomal RNA, 458 nt
Filed under: uncultured Streptococcus sp.
Lineage: Bacteria; Bacillati; Bacillota; Bacilli; Lactobacillales; Streptococcaceae
Description: bacterial SSU rRNA
Rfam family: Bacterial small subunit ribosomal RNA
Source: RNAcentral
CCGCACGAAGCGGUGAGCAUGUGGUUUAAUUCGAAGCAACGCGAAGAACCUUACAGGUCUUGACAUCCGAUGCUAUUCUAGAGAUAGAAAGUUACUUCGGUACAUCGGUGACAGGUGGUGCAUGGUUGUCGUCAGCUCGUGUCGUGAGAUGUUGGGUUAAGUCCCGUAACGAGCGCAACCCCUAUUGUUAGUUGCCAUCAUUCAGUUGGGCACUCUAGCGAGACUGCCGGUAAUAAACCGGAGGAAGGUGGGGAUGACGUCAAAUCAUCAUGCCCCUUAUGACCUGGGCUACACACGUGCUACAAUGGUUGGUACAACGAGUUGCGAGUCGGUGACGGCGAGCUAAAUCUCUUAAAGCCAAUCUCAGUUCGGAUUGUAGGCUGCAACUCGCCUACAUGAAGUCGGAAUCGCUAGUAAUCGCGGAUCAGCACGCCGCGGUGAAUACGUUCCCGGGCCUU